UUCCCAGAAGUUGUUCAUCUUCAGUUCACAGAAAGCGAGGAGGAUACGUUCUUUGUACAUCAUUUCUCAUUUCAUUAAGCUACAAUCUGCAGGUCCUAGCUGACAACGUCUCGGAUAUAGGACAAUUUAUUCUCAGGGACGUGGCGGAUAUGGAACCUCUGAUGAUUCUCCUUCUGCUAGCAGCUGUUUCUACAUCAACCUCAGAUGCUCCCACAACAACCCCAGCAGGUCUCACAACAACCACAGCAGGUCUCACAACAACCACAGCCAUCCCCACAAUAUCCACGACUGCUGCAACAUCAACAAUCAUCCCCACAACAACCACAGAUGCUCUUACAACAACCACAGCCAUCCCCACAACAACUACAGCCAUCCCCACAACAACCCAAGCU
Molecule: long non-coding RNA, 392 nt
Organism: Oncorhynchus tshawytscha (Chinook salmon)
Lineage: Eukaryota; Metazoa; Chordata; Actinopteri; Salmoniformes; Salmonidae
Exons: 3
Source: RefSeq, a predicted model, not a curated record